UACGGAGGAUGCGAGCGUUAUCCGGAUUUAUUGGGUUUAAAGGGUGCGUAGGCGGUCCGUUAAGUCAGCGGUAAAAUUGCGGGGCUCAACCCCGCUCCGCCGUUGAAACUGUGUCCCUUGAGUGCGCGAAGGGUAGGCGGAAUGCGUGGUGUAGCGGUGAAAUGCAUAGAUAUCGCGCAGAACUCCGAUUGCGAAGGCAGCAUACCGGCGCCCAACUGACGCUGAGGCACGAAAGCGUGGGUAUCGAACAGG
RNAcentral lists this ribosomal RNA (252 nucleotides) under uncultured Bacteroidales bacterium. Its description in RNAcentral is "partial 16S ribosomal RNA". It matches the Rfam family "Bacterial small subunit ribosomal RNA", at positions 524 to 776 of the family's 1533-position model. Lineage: Bacteria; Pseudomonadati; Bacteroidota; Bacteroidia; Bacteroidales. The record is from RNAcentral.